RNAcentral lists this ribosomal RNA (93 nucleotides) under Fusarium pseudograminearum CS3096. Lineage: Eukaryota; Fungi; Ascomycota; Sordariomycetes; Hypocreales; Nectriaceae. The record is from RNAcentral.
ACGACCAAAGGUAGUGGAAAAUACGGGAUCCCGUCUGCUCUCCCAUAGUCAAGCCACUAACCGGCGGAUUAGUAGUUGGGUCGGUGACGACCA